UACGGGAGGCAGCAGGGGGAAUAUUGCACAAUGGGCGCAAGCCUGAUGCAGCCAUGCCGCGUGUAUGAAGAAGGCCUUCGGGUUGUAAAGUACUUUCAGCGGGGAGGAAGGCGAUGCGGUUAAUAACCGCGUCGAUUGACGUUACCCGCAGAAGAAGCACCGGCUAACUCCGUGCCAGCAGCCGCGGUAAUACGGAGGGUGCAAGCGUUAAUCGGAAUUACUGGGCGUAAAGCGCACGCAGGCGGUCUGUUAAGUCAGAUGUGAAAUCCCCGGGCUUAACCUGGGAACUGCAUUUUGAAACUGGCAGGCUUGAGUCUUGUAGAGGGGGUAGAAUUCCAGGUGUAGCGGUGAAAUGCGUAGAGAUCUGGAGGAAUACCGGUGGCGAAGGCGGCCCCUGGGACAAAGACUGACGCUCAGGGUGCGAAAGCGUGGGGAGCAAACAGGAUUAGAUACC
RNAcentral lists this ribosomal RNA (454 nucleotides) under uncultured bacterium. RNAcentral describes it as "bacterial SSU rRNA". It matches the Rfam family "Bacterial small subunit ribosomal RNA", at positions 340 to 786 of the family's 1533-position model. The record is from RNAcentral.